CAGUAGCCGCGGUAAUACGAAGGGGGCUAGCGUUGUUCGGAAUUACUGGGCGUAAAGCGCACGUAGGCGGAUAUUUAAGUCAGGGGUGAAAAUCCCAGAGCUCAACUCUGGAACUGCCUUUGAUACUGGAUAUCUUGAGUAUGGAAGAGGUGAGUGGAAUUCCGAGUGUAGAGGUGAAAUUCGUAGAUAUUCGCAAGAACACCAGUGGCGAAGGCGGCUUACUGGCUCGAAACUGACGCUGAGGCGCGAAAGCGUGGGGAGCAAACAGGAUCAGAGACCCGAGUAGUCCCUGUCUCUUAUA
RNAcentral lists this ribosomal RNA (301 nucleotides) under uncultured bacterium. RNAcentral's name for it is "partial 16S ribosomal RNA". It matches the Rfam family "Bacterial small subunit ribosomal RNA", at positions 509 to 808 of the family's 1533-position model. The record is from RNAcentral.